Molecule: ribosomal RNA, 538 nt
Filed under: Vibrio parahaemolyticus
Lineage: Bacteria; Pseudomonadati; Pseudomonadota; Gammaproteobacteria; Vibrionales; Vibrionaceae
Description: bacterial SSU rRNA
Rfam family: Bacterial small subunit ribosomal RNA
Source: RNAcentral
GAUGGAUUGGUGCCUUCGGGAACUCUGAGACAGGUGCUGCAUGGCUGUCGUCAGCUCGUGUUGUGAAAUGUUGGGUUAAGUCCCGCAACGAGCGCAACCCUUAUCCUUGUUUGCCAGCGAGUAAUGUCGGGAACUCCAGGGAGACUGCCGGUGAUAAACCGGAGGAAGGUGGGGACGACGUCAAGUCAUCAUGGCCCUUACGAGUAGGGCUACACACGUGCUACAAUGGCGCAUACAGAGGGCAGCCAACUUGCGAGAGUGAGCGAAUCCCAAAAAGUGCGUCGUAGUCCGGAUUGGAGUCUGCAACUCGACUCCAUGAAGUCGGAAUCGCUAGUAAUCGUGGAUCAGAAUGCCACGGUGAAUACGUUCCCGGGCCUUGUACACACCGCCCGUCACACCAUGGGAGUGGGCUGCAAAAGAAGUAGGUAGUUUAACCUUCGGGGGGACGCUUACCACUUUGUGGUUCAUGACUGGGGUGAAGUCGUAACAAGGUAGCGCUAGGGGAACCUGGCGCUGGAUCACCUCCUUAAACGAUGAU